This 253-nucleotide ribosomal RNA is filed under the name uncultured bacterium. Its description in RNAcentral is "partial 16S ribosomal RNA". It matches the Rfam family "Bacterial small subunit ribosomal RNA", at positions 524 to 776 of the family's 1533-position model. The record is from RNAcentral.
GACGGAGGGGGCUAGCGUUGUUCGGAAUGACUGGGUGUAAAGGGCACGUAGGCGGUGGUUUUAGUGAGGCGUGAAAGGCCUGGGCUUAACCCCGGAGGUGCGUUUGAUACUGGAAUGCUAGAGUGCGAGAGAGGAAAGUGGAAUUCCUAGUGUAGAGGUGAAAUUCGUAGAUAUUAGGAAGAACACCAGAGGCGAAGGCGGCUUUCUGGCUCGUAACUGACGCUGAGGCGCGAAAGCGUGGGGAGCAAACAGG